CCUACGAGUGGCAGCAGUGAGGAAUAUUGGUCAAUGGGCGCGAGCCUGAACCAGCCAAGUAGCGUGAAGGAUGCCUGCCCUACGGGUUGUAAACUUCUUUUAUAAAGGAAUAAAGUGAGGCACGUGUGCCUUUUUGUAUGUACUUUAUGAAUAAGGAUCGGCUAACUCCGUGCCAGCAGCCGCUGUAAUACGGAGGAUCCGAGCGUUAUCCGGAUUUAUUGGGUUUAAAGGGAGCGUAGAUGGGUUGUUAAGUCAGUUGUGAAAGUUUGCGGCUCAACCGUAAAAUUGCAAUUGAUACUGGCAGUCUUGAGUACAGUUGAGGUAGGCGGAAUUCGUGGUGUAGAGGUGAAAUGCUUAGAUAUCACGAAGAACUCCGAUUGCGAAGGCAGCUUACUAAACUGCCACUGACAUUGAUGCUCGAAAGUGUGGGUAUCAAACAGGAGUAGAUACCCCUGUAGUC
RNAcentral lists this ribosomal RNA (460 nucleotides) under uncultured bacterium. RNAcentral describes it as "partial 16S ribosomal RNA". It matches the Rfam family "Bacterial small subunit ribosomal RNA", at positions 338 to 795 of the family's 1533-position model. The record is from RNAcentral.